This 319-nucleotide ribosomal RNA is filed under the name uncultured fungus. RNAcentral's name for it is "eukaryotic LSU rRNA". The stretch from base 1 to 72 matches the Rfam family "5.8S ribosomal RNA", at positions 83 to 154 of the family's 154-position model. Lineage: Eukaryota; Fungi. The record is from RNAcentral.
AGUGAGUCAUCGAAUCUUUGAACGCACCUUGCACUCUUUGGUAUUCCGAAGAGUAUGUCUGUUUGAGUGUCAUGAAACUCUCAACCCCCUCAUUUUGUAAUGAAGUGAGUCGUGGGCUUGGAUUAUGGCUGUCUGUCGGCUUCAUUGCCGGCUCAGCUGAAAUACACGAGUAACCCAGUUUGAAAAACUGACGGCUUGACUCGGCGUAAUAAUUAUUUCGCUGAGGACGUCUUCUUUAAAGUCAGUGGUGCUUCUAAUGCGUUAUAAUACAUCAUAAGCUUUAGACCUCAAAUCAGUCAGGACUACCCGCUGAACUUAA